Engraulis encrasicolus (European anchovy) is the source of this 72-nucleotide small nucleolar RNA. RefSeq annotates it as small nucleolar RNA SNORD24. Lineage: Eukaryota; Metazoa; Chordata; Actinopteri; Clupeiformes; Engraulidae. The transcript has a single exon. The record is from RefSeq and is a predicted model, not a curated record.
UGCAGAUGAUGAAAACUAUCUUUUGCUUUCUAAACAUUAAUGUUGACAACCUUCCACCAAGAUCGCUGAGCA